RNAcentral lists this ribosomal RNA (1497 nucleotides) under Citrobacter sp. KTE151. RNAcentral's name for it is "bacterial LSU rRNA". It matches the Rfam family "Bacterial large subunit ribosomal RNA", at positions 1453 to 2925 of the family's 2925-position model. The record is from RNAcentral. Lineage: Bacteria; Pseudomonadati; Pseudomonadota; Gammaproteobacteria; Enterobacterales; Enterobacteriaceae.
ACUGCGAGGGGGGGACGGAGAAGGCUAUGUUAGCCGGGCGACGGUUGUCCCGGUUUAAGCAUGUAGGCGGAGAUUCCAGGUAAAUCCGGAGUCUUGUUAACGCUGAGGUGUGAUGACGAGGCACUACGGUGCUGAAGUAACAAAUGCCCUGCUUCCAGGAAAAGCCUCUAAGCAUCAGGUAACACGAAAUCGUACCCCAAACCGACACAGGUGGUCAGGUAGAGAAUACCAAGGCGCUUGAGAGAACUCGGGUGAAGGAACUAGGCAAAAUGGUGCCGUAACUUCGGGAGAAGGCACGCUGAUAUGUAGGUGAAGUGAUUUACUCAUGGAGCUGAAAUCAGUCGAAGAUACCAGCUGGCUGCAACUGUUUAUUAAAAACACAGCACUGUGCAAACACGAAAGUGGACGUAUACGGUGUGACGCCUGCCCGGUGCCGGAAGGUUAAUUGAUGGGGUUAUCCGUAAGGAGAAGCUCUUGAUCGAAGCCCCGGUAAACGGCGGCCGUAACUAUAACGGUCCUAAGGUAGCGAAAUUCCUUGUCGGGUAAGUUCCGACCUGCACGAAUGGCGUAAUGAUGGCCAGGCUGUCUCCACCCGAGACUCAGUGAAAUUGAACUCGCUGUGAAGAUGCAGUGUACCCGCGGCAAGACGGAAAGACCCCGUGAACCUUUACUAUAGCUUGACACUGAACACUGGUCCUUGAUGUGUAGGAUAGGUGGGAGGCUUUGAAGUGUGGACGCCAGUCUGCAUGGAGCCAACCUUGAAAUACCACCCUUUAAUGGCUGGUGUUCUAACGUAGACCCGUAAUCCGGGUUGCGGACAGUGUCUGGUGGGUAGUUUGACUGGGGCGGUCUCCUCCUAAAGAGUAACGGAGGAGCACGAAGGUUAGCUAAUCCUGGUCGGACAUCAGGAGGUUAGUGCAAAGGCAUAAGCUAGCUUGACUGCGAGAGUGACGGCUCGAGCAGGUGCGAAAGCAGGUCUUAGUGAUCCGGUGGUUCUGAAUGGAAGGGCCAUCGCUCAACGGAUAAAAGGUACUCCGGGGAUAACAGGCUGAUACCGCCCAAGAGUUCAUAUCGACGGCGGUGUUUGGCACCUCGAUGUCGGCUCAUCACAUCCUGGGGCUGAAGUAGGUCCCAAGGGUAUGGCUGUUCGCCAUUUAAAGUGGUACGCGAGCUGGGUUUAGAACGUCGUGAGACAGUUCGGUCCCUAUCUGCCGUGGGCGCUGGAGAAUUGAGGGGGGCUGCUCCUAGUACGAGAGGACCGGAGUGGACGCAUCACUGGUGUUCGGGUUGUCAUGCCAAUGGCAUUGCCCGGUAGCUAAAUGCGGAAGAGAUAAGUGCUGAAAGCAUCUAAGCACGAAACUUGCCCCGAGAUGAGUUCUCCCUGACCCCUUAAGGGUCCUGAAGGAACGUUGAAGACGACGACGUUGAUAGGUCGGGUGUGUAAGCGUAGCGAUACGUUGAGCUAACCGAUACUAAUGAACCGUGAGGCUUAACCUU